RNAcentral lists this ribosomal RNA (1018 nucleotides) under uncultured bacterium. RNAcentral describes it as "bacterial SSU rRNA". It matches the Rfam family "Bacterial small subunit ribosomal RNA", at positions 357 to 1376 of the family's 1533-position model. The record is from RNAcentral.
AGGAAUAUUGGUCAAUGGGCGAGAGCCUGAACCAGCCAAGUAGCGUGCAGGAUGACGGCCCUAUGGGUUGUAAACUGCUUUUAUAAGGGAAUAAAGUUAGUCUCGUGAGACUUUUUGCAUGUACCUUAUGAAUAAGGACCGGCUAAUUCCGUGCCAGCAGCCGCGGUAAUACGGAAGGUCCGGGCGUUAUCCGGAUUUAUUGGGUUUAAAGGGAGCGUAGGCCGGAGAUUAAGCGUGUUGUGAAAUGUAGACGCUCAACGUCUGCACUGCAGCGCGAACUGGUUUCCUUGAGUACGCACAAAGUGGGCGGAAUUCGUGGUGUAGCGGUGAAAUGCUUAGAUAUCACGAAGAACUCCGAUUGCGAAGGCAGCUCACUGGAGCGCAACUGACGCUGAAGCUCGAAAGUGCGGGUAUCGAACAGGAUUAGAUACCCUGGUAGUCCGCACGGUAAACGAUGGAUGCCCGCUGUUGGUCUGAACAGGUCAGCGGCCAAGCGAAAGCAUUAAGCAUCCCACCUGGGGAGUACGCCGGCAACGGUGAAACUCAAAGGAAUUGACGGGGGCCCGCACAAGCGGAGGAACAUGUGGUUUAAUUCGAUGAUACGCGAGGAACCUUACCCGGGCUUGAAUUGCAGAGGAAGGAUUUGGAGACAAUGACGCCCUUCGGGGCCUCUGUGAAGGUGCUGCAUGGUUGUCGUCAGCUCGUGCCGUGAGGUGUCGGCUUAAGUGCCAUAACGAGCGCAACCCCUCUCCUUAGUUGCCAUCAGGUUAAGCUGGGCACUCUGGGGACACUGCCACCGUAAGGUGUGAGGAAGGUGGGGAUGACGUCAAAUCAGCACGGCCCUUACGUCCGGGGCUACACACGUGUUACAAUGGCAGGUACAGAGAGACGGUCCCUUGCAAAAUGGAUCAAAUCCUUAAAGCCUGUCUCAGUUCGGACUGGGGUCUGCAACCCGACCCCACGAAGCUGGAUUCGCUAGUAAUCGCGCAUCAGCCAUGGCGCGGUGAAUACGUUCCCG